RNAcentral lists this ribosomal RNA (112 nucleotides) under uncultured bacterium. RNAcentral's name for it is "partial 16S ribosomal RNA". It matches the Rfam family "Bacterial small subunit ribosomal RNA", at positions 1373 to 1482 of the family's 1533-position model. The record is from RNAcentral.
CCCGGGCCUUGUACACACCGCCCGUCACACCACGAGAGUUUGUAACACCCGAAGUCGGUGGGGUAACCCUUCUGGGAGCCAGCCGCCUAAGGUGGGAUAGAUGAUUGGGGUG